UUGGUAUUAAAACUUUAAGAAUUUGUGCUGAAGAAUGUGUAAUUUCUGAUGGAUUUUUCUUAUCUUUAUGGUGUUUAAGAGCCACUGAAUUUGUUUCUAUUAAAAUAUACUCAUAAAAUUUUUGUGUUUUUAAAGAUCAUAUGGUUGAAAAUAUCAUCCAUUUGGGAAAAUCUUUUCUACUAUUUGUCUAGGUGUGUUUUUAAAAAACUCAUCUUCUAUAGUAAGGAUUAGUUGUUGUUGGGGUUUAUCAACAUAUUUUGAAAAGGAAG
This 269-nucleotide long non-coding RNA is filed under the name Elaeis guineensis (African oil palm). Its description in RNAcentral is "long non-coding RNA (EGUI_LNC010204)". Lineage: Eukaryota; Viridiplantae; Streptophyta; Magnoliopsida; Arecales; Arecaceae. The record is from RNAcentral.